RNAcentral lists this long non-coding RNA (1611 nucleotides) under Carica papaya (papaya). Its description in RNAcentral is "long non-coding RNA (CPAP_LNC013961)". The record is from RNAcentral. Lineage: Eukaryota; Viridiplantae; Streptophyta; Magnoliopsida; Brassicales; Caricaceae.
AUCGAGAGCAACAUGCAAUAUUAGAAAUAAUGUGACUAGACUCGUGCAAACUCCCACCCAACUCGAACUUGCUCAAAAGUUAAGAUCAAGUGUUGGUCAGAACUAUAUGCCCUCUGAAAUUUAAUAAUUAGUAGAAGUACAAGCUGAAAUCACUUGAAAUUUCUGGGUCUGACAGGACUAAUGAUGCCAAUGCAAUAAGAGCCUCGUCCAGUUACUGGGAUGGACGGCACAACAACACUUCUUUUCAAGAAGACUUUGAUGAAAUUAAUAACAAUAUUUUAAGAUUUGUAAGUAGCAAAUAUUAGUUAGUGAAAAACAAGUCUUUGAAUUAUAUGCAACUCUUUGUAAUAGGACAAUAAAUGCCGAAAAUAGUUCACGAGUUGCUCUUCUUGAUGAUUCAAGAUUUCCUCGGAAAAGCUCCAAGUGCUAACAGUGAUAACAGCAUAACAAACGACCAAAAAUGCUUUGAUACUUGUAUAUUUUUGAGAAUCCUAGGUUAAGUUUCAAUCUCUUGAAUAAUAGUUCAUCAUAUCAUAAGAAUAUAAGAUUGUUUUCCUCUUUUUCUCAUGCUAAGAGAAAAACACUAAGGAGAUUCUUACAAAAUCCUGAAGUUCAAUUAUUAACAACGAAAACUUUGAUGAUCCCUUUGAGAUGUAGGAAAUGGAGGAAACAGGAGGAAAGAAAAUGGGGAUCUGCAGAAUGCUUUUAGCUCAAGAUAGAAAACUCCCAGGACCAGUUUCUUUUAGGGAUAUAACUAGAGACUUCGUGAGAAAUGAUAUUAGUUUAAAUCGUGAGUCCUAGAAAGAGAGAAAGUCUUAGAGUGUAGCUGGUGUUUCUUCGUGAACUAUUGCUGAGCGGUGACGGUUGCUUGGAAUACUAUGGUUGUGGGCCUGAGGUGAUUUUUAGUGGUUGAGCAAAAGUCUUGACGUGGUAGGAGGGGGUAGUGGAGUUAGGAUCUACGAAAACGGAAAGGGCUUUUAGAAAUCAAUUUUCUUCUAGCAUGGUGAUAUUGAAUGGCUCAUCCAGUGUUUUAGAGAGUUCAAAUGGAAGAAGGAGAGAGCUUGAGGGAGGAGGAAAAGAAGCAGUUGGAGGAAUCUUUGGAUGGCAUUGAGUGGUAACAAAAGAGGGAAGUUUCUGGUACUGUCGGAAGGCAUAGAUGGACCCAAGGGGAGAAUCAACAGGAUUUUCCUUCCGGAGGGGGAGAAAGUUGAGGGGUGUGGUGGCAAAUGAUAGAAGCAAUCCAUGAGGUGGUGGGAGUGAAGUUAAUCCCUCCUGAUUGGGUUACGAAGAAAGGAGGUAAGAGUGCACCGAUGUUGGACAGUAUGAAGGAUUAGGCUAUUUUUAUGUUCAGAUGACCGGGGUGCUGCCUAGAAUUAGGUCUACAAGAGGGGGAAUGAUUCGGAAAUUCGUUCGCUGAGCCUUGCUGAAACCGAUGAUUAAUGCCACUCGGGUAGGGCAGGAGAGUCUGUCGGGUUUGAAUGAGGUGGGUCAGAUCAAUUCAAAUUUUGAAUUUAAAAAGAGAAGGGGGCACGUGAGGGAGUUUGAGCGGGAAUCAUAUGGUGGAAAGGUUGAUCAACCUGGGCGUAGUAGGAGUCGGGGUAGGAAGCGGGU